This 387-nucleotide ribosomal RNA is filed under the name uncultured bacterium. RNAcentral's name for it is "bacterial SSU rRNA". It matches the Rfam family "Bacterial small subunit ribosomal RNA", at positions 29 to 417 of the family's 1533-position model. The record is from RNAcentral.
AUUGAACGCUGGCGGCAUGCCUUACACAUGCAAGUCGAACGGCAGCACGGGAGCAAUCCUGGUGGCGAGUGGCGAACGGGUGAGUAAUACAUCGGAACGUGCCCAGUAGUGGGGGAUAACCCGGCGAAAGCCGGACUAAUACCGCAUACGACCUACGGGUGAAAGCAGGGGGAUCGCAAGACCUUGCGCUAUCGGAGCGGCCGAUGUCAGAUUAGCUAGGUUGGUGGGGAAAGCCUACCAAGGCGACGAUCUGUAGCUGGUCUGAGAGGACGACCAGCCACACUGGGACUGAGACACGGCCCAGACUCCUACGGGAGGCAGCAGUGGGGAAUUUUGGACAAUGGGCGCAAGCCUGAUCCAGCCAUGCCGCGUGCGGGAAGAAGGCCU